RNAcentral lists this transfer RNA (66 nucleotides) under Chrysomeloidea sp. 3 KM-2017. RNAcentral describes it as "tRNA-Asn". The record is from RNAcentral. Lineage: Eukaryota; Metazoa; Arthropoda; Insecta; Coleoptera.
UUAAUUGAAACCAAAAUAGAGGUAUGUCACUGUUAAUGACAUUAGUAGGUUUAACCCUCAAUUAAA